GACGAACGCUGGCGGCGUGCUUAACACAUGCAAGUCGAACGGUGAAGGGGCCUGCUUUUGUGGGCCCUGGAUGAGUGGCGAACGGGUGAGUAACACGUGAGUAACCUGCCCCCUUCUUCUGGAUAACCGCAUGAAAGUGUGGCUAAUACGGGAUAUUCUGGGUCUGUCGCAUGAUGGGUCUGGGAAAGAUUGCGCCUUUGGGUGUUUUUGGUGGGGGAUGGGCUCGCGGCCUAUCAGCUUGUUGGUGGGGUGAUGGCCUACCAAGGCGGUGACGGGUAGCCGGCCUGAGAGGGUGGACGGUCACAAUGGGACUGAGACACGGCCCAGACUCCUACGGGAGGCAGCAGUGGGGAAUAUUGCACAAUGGGCGCAAGCCUGAUGCAGCGACGCCGCGUGAGGGAUGGAGGCCUUCGGGUUGUAAACCUCUUUCGCCAGUGAAGCAGGCCUGCUCCUUGUGGGUGGGUUGACGGUAGCUGGAUAAGAAGCGCCGGCUAACUACGUG
Molecule: ribosomal RNA, 502 nt
Filed under: uncultured bacterium
Lineage: Bacteria
Description: partial 16S ribosomal RNA
Rfam family: Bacterial small subunit ribosomal RNA
Source: RNAcentral